RNAcentral lists this ribosomal RNA (497 nucleotides) under uncultured bacterium. RNAcentral's name for it is "partial 16S ribosomal RNA". It matches the Rfam family "Bacterial small subunit ribosomal RNA", at positions 28 to 507 of the family's 1533-position model. The record is from RNAcentral.
GAUGAACGCUGGCGGCGUGCCUAAUACAUGCAAGUCGAGCGAACAGAUAAGGAGCUUGCUCCUUUGACGUUAGCGGCGGACGGGUGAGUAACACGUGGAUAACCUACCUAUAAGACUGGGAUAACUUCGGGAAACCGGAGCUAAUACCGGAUAACAUAUUGAACCGCAUUGUUCAAUAGUGAAAGGCGGCUUUGCUGUCACUUAUAGAUGGAUCCGCGCCGUAUUAGCUAGUUGGUAAGGUAACGGCUUACCAAGGCAACGAUACGUAGCCGACCUGAGAGGGUGAUCGGCCACACUGGAACUGAGACACGGUCCAGACUCCUACGGGAGGCAGCAGUAGGGAAUCUUCCGCAAUGGGCGAAAGCCUGACGGAGCAACGCCGCGUGAGUGAUGAAGGUCUUCGGAUCGUAAAACUCUGUUAUCAGGGAAGAACAAAUGUGUAAGUAACUGUGCACAUCUUGACGGUACCUGAUCAGAAAGCCACGGCUAACUACGUG